Molecule: ribosomal RNA, 611 nt
Filed under: Entoloma nidorosum
Lineage: Eukaryota; Fungi; Basidiomycota; Agaricomycetes; Agaricales; Entolomataceae
Description: mitochondrial SSU rRNA
Rfam family: Bacterial small subunit ribosomal RNA
Source: RNAcentral
AAUAUUAGUCAAUGCUCGCAAGAGUGAACUAGCUAACUGAAAUAACAGGAUCCAUUACGUGUGGUGAAUGUUAUAACGUAAGGGAAAAAAAUGAUAUUACCUUACUAUAAGUGUUGUCCAAAACUGGUGCCAGAAGACUCGGUAAGGCCAGAGACGCAAACGUUAAUCGUCCUAAUCAGGCGUAAAGGGUAUGUAGGCUGCUUUAAAAGUAUUAUAUUUAAUAGCUCUAUAUAAAUAAUUUAUUUUUAUGUAUAAUAAAAAUAUUUUUAAUAAAUAGUAAAUAUAAAAUGAAUUAAAGCUAGAAUCAAAUUGAGGAUAAGUCAAAUAAUACUUAGUGUAGGGUUUAAAUCUGGUGAUAUUAGGUGGAGUACUAAAGGUGAAAGCUUUUUAUCUAGAAAUGAUUGACGCUGAGAAACGAAGGUGAGAAAAGAAAAUAGGAUUAGAUACCCAGAUAUCUCUCACAGUCAACGAUGAAUGGUGGUUGUUAGUUUAAUAUGACUGAUAACGAUGUUAACACGAUAACCAUUCCGCCUUGCGAGUACGGUUGCAAAACUGAAACCAAAAAAAUUAGUCGGUCUCGAAGCAAACGAAGUGAAGCAUGUUAUUUAAUU